UACGAAGGGGGCGAGCGUUGUUCGGAAUUACUGGGCGUAAAGGGCUCGUAGGCGGCCAACUAAGUCAGACGUGAAAUCCCCAGGCUCAACCUGGGAACUGCGUCUGAUACUGGAUGGCUUGAAUCCGGGAGAGGGAUGCAGAAUUCCAGGUGUAGCGGUGAAAUGCGUAGAUAUCUGGAGGAAUACCGGUGGCGAAGGCGGCAUCCUGGACCGGCAUUGACGCUGAGGAGCGAAAGCCAGGGGAGCAAACGGG
RNAcentral lists this ribosomal RNA (253 nucleotides) under uncultured bacterium. Its description in RNAcentral is "partial 16S ribosomal RNA". It matches the Rfam family "Bacterial small subunit ribosomal RNA", at positions 524 to 776 of the family's 1533-position model. The record is from RNAcentral.